Molecule: ribosomal RNA, 267 nt
Filed under: uncultured bacterium
Lineage: Bacteria
Description: partial 16S ribosomal RNA
Rfam family: Bacterial small subunit ribosomal RNA
Source: RNAcentral
ACUCCUACGGGAGGCAGCAGUGGGAAUCUUGGACAAUGGGGCAACCCGUGCAUCCAGCCAUGCCGCGUGAGUGAUGAAGGCCUUAGGGUCGUAAAGCUCUUUCGCCUGUGAAGAUAAUGACGGUAGCAGGUAAAGAAACCCGCGUACAUCCGUGCCAGCAGCCGCGGUAAUACGGAGGGGUUAGCGUUGUUCGGAAUUACUGGGCGUAAAGCGCACGUAGGCGGAUCGGAAAGUUGGGGGUGAAAUCCCGGGGCUCAACCCGCACGG